AUUGAACGCUGGCGGAAUGCUUUACACAUGCAAGUCGAGCGGCAGCGCGGCCUUCGGGCUGGCGGCGAGCGGCGAACGGGUGAGUAAUGCAUCGGAACAUGCCCAGUCGUGGGGGAUAACACUUCGAAAGAAGUGCUAAUACCGCAUACGUCCUGAGGGGGAAAGCGGGGGAUCGCAAGACCUCGCGCGAUUGGAGUGGCCGAUGUCAGAUUAGCUAGUUGGUGGGGUAAAGGCCUACCAAGGCGACGAUCUGUAGCUGGUCUGAGAGGAUGAUCAGCCACACUGGGACUGAGACACGGCCCAGACUCCUACGGGAGGCAGCAGUGGGGAAUUUUGGACAAUGGGCGAAACCCUGAUCCAGCAAUUCCGCGUGAGUGAAGAAGGCCUUCGGGUUGUAAAGCUCUUUCGGCAGGAACGAAACGGUGGGCUCUAACAUAGUCCGCUAAUGACGGUACCUGAAGAAGAAGCACCGGCUAACUACGUG
Molecule: ribosomal RNA, 484 nt
Filed under: uncultured bacterium
Lineage: Bacteria
Description: partial 16S ribosomal RNA
Rfam family: Bacterial small subunit ribosomal RNA
Source: RNAcentral